RNAcentral lists this ribosomal RNA (233 nucleotides) under uncultured bacterium. RNAcentral's name for it is "partial 16S ribosomal RNA". It matches the Rfam family "Bacterial small subunit ribosomal RNA", at positions 104 to 334 of the family's 1533-position model. The record is from RNAcentral.
CGGGGUGAGUAACGCGUGGGUAACCUGCCUCACACUGGGGGAGUAACAGUUAGAAAUAGCUGCUAAUACCGCAUAAGCGCACGGUUCCGCAUGGAACAGUGUGAAAAACUCCGGUGGUGUGAGAUGGACCCGCGUCUGAUUAGCCAGUUGGCGGGGUAACGGCCCACCAAAGCGAUGAUCAGUAGCCGGUCUGAGAGGAUGAACGGCCACAUUGGGACUGAGACACGGCCCAG